Molecule: ribosomal RNA, 497 nt
Filed under: uncultured bacterium
Lineage: Bacteria
Description: partial 16S ribosomal RNA
Rfam family: Bacterial small subunit ribosomal RNA
Source: RNAcentral
GAGGAAAGAGGGAGGAGGGCAGAAGAAAGGAAAGUAGAGUGAACGGACGAGAAGCUUGCUUCUCUGAUGUUAGCGGCGGACGGGUGAGUAACACGUGGAUAACCUACCUAUAAGACUGGGAUAACUUCGGGAAACCGGAGCUAAUACCGGAUAAUAUUUUGAACCGCAUGGUUCAAAAGUGAAAGGCGGUCUUGCUGUCACUUAUAGAUGGAUCCGCGCUGCAUUAGCUAGUUGGUAAGGUAACGGCUUACCAAGGCAACGAUGCAUAGCCGACCUGAGAGGGUGAUCGGCCACACUGGAACUGAGACACGGUCCAGACUCCUACGGGAGGCAGCAGUAGGGAAUCUUCCGCAAUGGGCGAAAGCCUGACGGAGCAACGCCGCGUGAGUGAUGAAGGUCUUCGGAUCGUAAAACUCUGUUAUUAGGGAAGAACAUAUGUGUAAGUAACUGUGCACAUCUUGACGGUACCUAAUCAGAAAGCCACGGCUAACUACGUA